AGAUCGAAAUUCAUUCGGUCCCUGAGGUUGAUUACUCACUUUCUCUUUGAUGUUCAGUGAGUUAAUCCACCUGAGGCACCGAAAGAUCGAUC
RNAcentral lists this microRNA precursor (92 nucleotides) under Pristionchus pacificus. RNAcentral describes it as "microRNA ppc-mir-2236b precursor". The record is from miRBase by way of RNAcentral. Lineage: Eukaryota; Metazoa; Nematoda; Chromadorea; Rhabditida; Neodiplogasteridae.